UGUAUAAGUAUAAACGCUCUAUGCGUGAAACCGCGAACGGCUCAUUACAACAGCUAUAAUUUACUUGAUCUUGACAAACCAUACUUGGAUAACUGUGGUAAUUCUAGAGCUAAUACAUGCACCAAAGCUCUGUGCCGCAAGGCAAGAGCGCAUUUAUUAGAACAAAACCAAGCGGCUUCGGCCGUCCAUUGUUGACUCAGAAUAACUUAGCUGAUCGCAUGGUCUUGUACCGGCGACGUGUCUUUCAAGUGUCUGCCUUAUCAACUUUCGAUGGUAGUGUAUUUGACUACCAUGGUGGUGACGGGUAACGGAGGAUAAGGGUUCGACUCCGGAGAAGGGGCCUGAGAAAUGGCCACUACGUCUAAGGAUGGCAGCAGGCGCGCAAAUUACCCACUCUCAGCAUCGAGGAGGUAGUGACGAGAAAUAACGAGACCGUUCUCUUCAGAGGCCGGUCAUCGGAAUGGGUACAAUUUAAACCCUUUAACGAGUAUCUAUGAGAGGGCAAGUCUGGUGCCAGCAGCCGCGGUAAUUCCAGCUCUCAAAAUGCAUAGAAUCAUUGCUGCGGUUAAAAAGCUCGUAGUUGGAUCUGUGCUGGCGCUCCGGUCCAUCUUCGGAUGCGCACUGGUUGUCGCCGGCUUUUCUGCAGUGUUCCGGUGCCGUGCCCUUCAUCGGGUGCGUGCACAGGCUCUGCAAGUUUACUUUGAACAAAUCAGAGUGCUUCAAACAGGCGUUUGCUUGAAUGUUCGUGCAUGGAAUAAUAGAAGAGGAUUUCGGUUCUAUUUUAUUGGUUUUAUAGACUGAGAUA
RNAcentral lists this ribosomal RNA (805 nucleotides) under Zygotylenchus guevarai. RNAcentral's name for it is "SSU rRNA". It matches the Rfam family "Eukaryotic small subunit ribosomal RNA", at positions 56 to 864 of the family's 1831-position model. The record is from RNAcentral. Lineage: Eukaryota; Metazoa; Nematoda; Chromadorea; Rhabditida; Pratylenchidae.